Molecule: ribosomal RNA, 253 nt
Filed under: uncultured bacterium
Lineage: Bacteria
Description: partial 16S ribosomal RNA
Rfam family: Bacterial small subunit ribosomal RNA
Source: RNAcentral
UACGUAGGUGGCAAGCGUUGUCCGGAAUCAUUGGGCGUAAAGCGCGCGUAGGUGGCCUCAUAAGUCCGCUGUGAAAGUCAAAGGCUCAACCUUUGAAAGCCGGUGGAUACUGUGGGGCUAGAGUACGGAAGAGGCGAGUGGAAUUCCUGGUGUAGCGGUGGAAUGCGCAGAUAUCAGGAGGAACACCAAUAGCGAAGGCAGCUCGCUGGGACGUUACUGACACUGAGGCGCGAAAGCGUGGGGAGCGAACAGG